Ailuropoda melanoleuca (giant panda) is the source of this 502-nucleotide long non-coding RNA. RefSeq lists it as uncharacterized. Lineage: Eukaryota; Metazoa; Chordata; Mammalia; Carnivora; Ursidae. The record is from RefSeq and is a predicted model, not a curated record. The transcript is spliced from 3 exons.
AGCCCGCUCCAAAGACAGACGUCACCCAGGAUUUUGAGGAAGUAAGCAGGAACACGUAAGGGCCAAAGGAAACCAGGCAGAUCCAAAAGAAAGCAGGCGCCCGAGAAACCGUGACCUCCCCACCCCCCGCCUCUCAGUGAAGUGGGCCCCAGCAGGUUGCAGGCAUGUGGGACCUCGGCGAUCUCUCCCCAGAGGCCCAGAAGAUCCCUGACGAACCCACCCACACCGCACUCCAUGCUCAUCCCCUCCGCCCCACCCUACGCUGUCUGCUGACACACAUUCUCUCUGCCUGUGACAAAGUCAUGGCCCCACAGAAACUCAAGCGCUUCCAAAUUGCCUUCGGUGGGGCAACCGGGGAAGGACUUCGAAAACCAAGAAGGGAUAGCAUCUCCAAAAAUAUGCCCUCUCCCCACUGACGCGGUGCCGAACCCCUCCGGGAAAGCAGGGCCAUCCUGGAGACAGACAGACAUCCAGAGGGACACGCGCAGUAUCAGAGACGGUG